Molecule: small nuclear RNA, 191 nt
Organism: Heterocephalus glaber (naked mole-rat)
Lineage: Eukaryota; Metazoa; Chordata; Mammalia; Rodentia; Bathyergidae
Gene: U2
Rfam family: U2 spliceosomal RNA
About the family: U2 is a small nuclear RNA (snRNA) component of the spliceosome (involved in pre-mRNA splicing). Complementary binding between U2 snRNA (in an area lying towards the 5' end but 3' to hairpin I) and the branchpoint sequence (BPS) of the intron results the bulging out of an unpaired adenosine, on the BPS, which initiates a nucleophilic attack at the intronic 5' splice site, thus starting the first of two transesterification reactions that mediate splicing.
Source: Ensembl
AUCACUUCCUGGCCUUUUGGCUAAUAUCAAGUGUAGUAUGUGUUCUUAUCAGUUUAAUAUCUGAUGUGUCCUCUAUCCAAGGAUAAUAUAUUACAUGGACUUUUGGAGCUGGGACUUGGAAUUGAAGAUUGCUGCGCCCACUCUGCACAUUGACCUGGGACUGCAGUGCCUCCUGGAAAGGUGCAUCCCUC